CGUUCAAUCACAUCCUUCAUAUGAGAAACCCUGUUCAACCCAUAUUUGAAUUUAACAAGAUCUUAUCUUCUCUUGUUAAGUUGAACCAUUUUCAUACUGCUAUUUCCUUUUCUAAACAAAUGGAACUCAAACAAAUUCAACCUGACUUAUUUACUUUCAACAUCUUGAUUAAUUGUUUCUGCCACUUGGGCCACCUCAAUUUUGCUUUUUCUGUAUUGGCCAAGAUUUUUAAGCUAGGGUUUCACCCUGAUACUGUAACAAUCACUACACUUAUCAAAGGUCUAUGUCUUAAUGGUAAGGUUAGGGAAGCCCUUCACUUUCAUGACGAUGUCAUAGCAAAGGGGUUUCACCUUGAUCAGGUUAGUUAUGGGACCUUGAUCAAUGGAUUAUGUAAAACAGGAGAAACAAGAGCUGCCCUGCAGGUUCUUAGAAAAAUUGAUGGGCUGUUGGUUCAGCCUAAUGUAGUCAUGUACAAUACAAUUAUUGAUAGUUUGUGCAAGGAUAAACUUGUAAUUCAUGCCUCUGAUUUAUGUUCUGAAAUGAUUGUUAAGAGAAUUUUUCCAGAUGUUGUCACUUAUACUACUCUAAUAUAUGGCUGUUUGAUUGUGGGUCGAUUGAAAGAAGCAGUUGGUUUGUUCAAUCAAAUGUUGUUGAAAAACAUUAAACCAGACGUUUAUACAUUUAAUAUAUUGGUUGAUGGUUUAUGUAAGGAAGGAGAGAUGAAAAAAGCUAGAAAUGUGUUAGCUGUUAUGAUAAAACAAGGUGUGGAUUCUAAUAUUGUUACUUAUAAUUCUUUAAUGGAUGGGUAUUUCUUGGUCAAACAAGAGAAUAAGGCCACAUUUGUGUUCAACACUAUGGCUAGAAGGGGAGUGACUCCUGAUGUUCAAAGCUACAGUAUUAUGAUUAAUGGACUAUGCAAGACUAAAAUGGUGGAUGAAGCCGUUAAUCUCUUCAAAGAAAUGCAUUCCAAAAGUAUGGCUCCUAAUACUGUAACAUACAAUUCACUUAUCGAUGGUCUUCUCAAAUAUGGGAGAAUCUCUGAUGCUUGGGAUCUUGUAAAUGAGAUGCAUAAUAGAGGCCAACCUGCCGAUGUGAUCACUUACAGUUCCUUAUUGGAUGCUUUGUGCAAAAACCAUCAGGUUGACAAGGCAAUCACAUUAAUAACGAAGAUCAAAGACCAAGGAAUUCAGCCAAAUAUUUAUACUUACACUAUACUUGUUGAUGGACUAUGCAAAAAUGGAAGACUUAAGGAUGCACAAGCGGUUUAUCAGGAUCUUCUUAUUAAGGGCUAUCAUUUAGAUGUUAAAAUGUAUAAUGUGAUGGUCAAUGGGCUUUGUAAAGAGGGCUUGUUUGAUGAAGCACUGUCCUUAGUGUCAAAAAUGGAAGACAACGGUUGCAUACCUGAUGCUGUAACUUAUGAAACUCUUGUCCGUGCUUUGUUCGAGAACGAUAAGAAUGAUAAGGCGGUGAAACUUCUACGUGAAAUGAUUGCUAGAGGUAUAUUGUAAUGUAAAACCAGGUGAGAUAUGAGUUCAAGUUACAAUUUGUCAUUUUGAAUUUGAAAACAAAUAUCUAAUCAGUAAUCUUUAUUUCUUUUCAUAGUUAUAAAAGAUGGUUAGUGCAAUUGACCCACUCUUACAUUUUUUUUUUUAAUUAAGAGUUACACAUUGCUAGUUUCAUUAUGAUAUUUGUAACAACAAUUGUGGUCGACAUUUUUUAUUCCUUAAUAACUAUCCUUUUCUUCCCAAAUUGUUGUGAAUCUGCUUCAUCAAUUUUCAAGGAUUGUUUUUAUUCACUGUCAUGUUCAGAGUUCAAUUUAUUUAUAUUUAAUAGAAUCAAUGAAAUGAGAGAUGUUGUAACACAGAUAUAUUUUAGAAUAUGGAAGGGUAAUUGAAGUGUAAACAGAAAGAAAAUCUGAUAGGAUCACUACCAGUCAAGCCAAAUGGCUCUCUCAACAGCGUACAUUCACCCCGAGCAAUCCUCUAACUAUAACAGAAUUCUAUUGUGAUUCUUUUCUCAAAAGUAUUCCUCAUAUAACUACCUUCCACACCUCACUCUCACAAUCCCUCGUUAUUAAUUUCCUGCCAGCUCAACAUCCUUGAUCUUCCCUUGUUUUGUGUGAUACACCCUCCACUCUUCGGGACUGUUCUCACUUUCAUUAAGGGUGACACGCCCAUUCCCUUUAUUUCUAUCAAAUAUUUUAUGAAUGUUUCUUGCGUCUUUAUAGAAAAAGGGAGAAGUUAACCAACAACCCUCUUUUUGUUACUUGAGACUUACCUUGCUUUUCUGUCAAGGCAACCAUAGUUAUAGAUGUAAUUUUUUAAUUGAGUAGAGCAGACAUACAUGAAGCAAUUUGUGGAUAGAGGAGUCGAUCUACUGUUCGAUCAUCUAUUUUUUAGCAAACGUGGCAGUGUUGUUGGAUCUAGGUGCAAGGAAGUGCAGUUGGAUCCAACAUCUCUUCAAAUUCAAUGCUCUGUGUCUACCAGGCAGCACCUUUAGCUAGUUUUGGAGUAUUUUGGUUCAUUUUUGGUCUUGCAUCUUUAGGAUUAGAUGCAUUUAAAAUUCAACUUCCAGAGCAAGCUUGCAUGCACCACUUUUACAUUUUCCCGGUCGAAAAGGGUAAUGGGACAUAAAUCAAGUUAUUGAUAAUAAGUUUCUGUUUUUUCCUGUUUCAAAGCUCUUAAAGUCAUAUGUCUUUUAGAUUACAAGCUUCUAUUUUACUGUUUCAAAGAGCCUAACACAUUCCUUCAAAAAGAAAAAAAGCCUAACACAUUGUGUAAUAAAUCUAAUGACUAAUGAUAUCAAGUUAAUGAUUAUAAGCUUCAAUUUUUCCAGUUUCGAAGAUCUUAAUGUCCUAUGUCAAUUAGAUAUACAUGAUGAUUUGUUGUAAUAAAUGCAUCUAAAGCUUAUUUCAAUUCUCUCUUUUGUCGUCCUGUAUAUUAUAUUUAUCUUAGUCAUAUAGAUUCAAAAUGAAAAAGAUAGAACCUAUAUUUGUAGCAUGUGUAAAAAUUAACCAGAUCCACGCUCUUCAUACGUUGGAGUGAUUACGUGCAUACAACUGAAGAGUUUGAUCUUCACAUACCUAGCUAGUUGUAAAAGGGGAAACUUUUGUUGAAUGCACAAAAUGAAACAUCUGAAAGAGAACUAACUUCACUGUUGAAUAGACAAAAUGAAACAUCUGAAACAUCUAGAAAGCCGAUAUAUUAAGAGGUAUGAACCAGUGUUGUUGAAUAUCGGCCAUGGAGGCGCCAUGGCGGAUAUCAGUGGCGGAAUUUCAACAGGGUGCCAUAGAAAGGAGGUGGUGUGGCGGAUUGUUGCAACGCUGGUUUGAUUUUUUAUACUUUACAUUUCAAUGAAUUGUUUCAAUCUAUUGUCGUCCUCCGUCUGCCUUACUAAUAAUUUGAUAAAUAUUUGUGCUUAGAAGAUUUCAGAGUAUCCUAAUAGUGGAGAUUAAACAAGCUUCAUGUAUCCAAGGUAGGGAGGUGAUACUGAAAAUUUUAAUCUUGGAAGGACUUUUUACCUCAGACAAACUUAGUUAGUGCAUGUCUUGGACGGUGUCCUGUAGGGGCCCUUAGACACUAUGUGAAACCUUGUCUUUUUGAAUAGCAAAUGUAGGGCUGAUACAGUGAAAGAAACACUCCGUUAUUGAGAUAGCAUGCCUACUACCUACUAAGUUUUGAUUAAACAUCUUGGUCCCUCUGCAGUUUCUAGAUUAAAACUUAGUGAAUAUUUGGGAGGUUUAUUAGUUGUCUCCCCAACCUUCAUAGUUGAGAUCGGUGAGAUCAUAGCGUCUUAUUGAGAUUUUCCUUGUUCUUCCAAGAUCACAGUGAAGUAAAGAGAUUUUCCUCAGCCAUCAUACAUAUCUUGGUAUAUAAGAUUGUAUAUAUUAGUGGAUAAGGAAAGGGAAGCCUUAUAAAUUCGUCUUUUCAAUAUUCUGUCGUUUUUGUUCUUUCAAACUUUGGUCCUGUCUAGUAUAUUUCGUGCUGUAAGAAUGCACCAACACUUAGGCAAGUCUUGUGAUCAACAGUACACUGACAUGACACCUGCGCAUGUGAUAACAUUCAAUUAAUUUAUUUCCUCAAAUUAUGUUGACAUCAUUAGGUUUUUCGUUGGAGGAGUCAAUUCCAGUUGUUGGAGUCUCCAUGGAGACCCAAUUCAAUUCAUAGUUCAAUUCAUAAGACCCAAUUCAAUUCUCAGCCCUUUUUCAGAAAAAGAAAAAAAAAGUUAGUUGUUGCACAGAAAUAGUGUAGCCAAGCCUAACUGAUGGACUCUGUUGUUGUGAGAUACCAUUUUUUAUCAUCUGUUUGUCUAAUAGUGCUUCUAAGUGAACUUUUCCAAGCUGUAACUGAGCAUUCGGUAAAGCUAAAGGCUGUAUUGAAGGGUAUCGUGUGUUGGUUCGAGUGCACUUGUUAUGGAACUAUGUUUUGUGCUUCACUUCUUUUUACAUGUAUCUCUUUAAUUGGUGUUUUGGGUAAUCCAUGCUCUAGGUGCUUAACAUUAUAGGGCGCAUAUGAUCUUAUGGGAAGAUGUUUUUGAGAAUAUAGUAACAAUGAUUUUGAACCUUUUAUAAAUUUUUCAUUUGGAUAGGUGAGUUUGUGAGACUGAUCCUUUAUUUUAUUUUUUUUAAACUUUUUCCAUACUGAUGAUGCACUGCAACCAAUUGUAUGCAUUUUACUAUUGGAUUAUUCUCUUGUAUAUCUGUUGUAUAUAUUAGUUUUACCGUUUCUGCACUUUUGUUUCUUGCGCAAUUCUGCUACUGUUGCGUUAUGUGGUGUCUAUCUCCUCAUAUAUCUGUUUCAGCACAUUCCCAUUUAUGCACAUGUGUUCAGGUUCAACGCUUCGGAUUUACUGCAUAAUUUUCUCUACUGGUUUAUGUGUCUUAAUUAGGUUUACCACAAAUCCGGUUUUUGUUGGAUUUCUUGGCUGCGCGUGUUUUCUGGUUGUUGUGAUGCCGGCUCUUUUGGUUUCACUUUUGCAGGGUAAAUUCUUGAGGGCUUCCUAAUUGCUUUGUUAGAACCAAGAAGUUAACUGAUUUUUUUUUUUUUUUUUAUCUUCUCUUGCAGUAAACUAUCCUCUUGUAUAUUAUUCUUCUUUCGUUAUGGAUGCAUCAAGUUCAUUACUGAUUCUGAAAAAGGGUGCCCCAUAGACAAUUUUUUUGAGUAUACAAUGGUGAGGCAUUGACGCGGUUCUUUCCAUAUAACUUGGAUAAUAUCUCUUUUUAAAUCAGUAUGUAACUUGGCAUUGACCUCGGACAUGUGAUUGCAGUUGGAGCACAAUAAGAAGGGUCAACUCUUCAGUAUAUUUGAAAUUGCAAGAUUUGGUCCUAUUGGACUGUCUCAUGUAAUGCCUUAGUGUUAUGGUGUUAAUUAGACAAUUGUCUUUCAUAUUCUAUUAUUGGAAACUUUCCAUUCUUUGAUUGAUGAGCUAUAGCUUCCGAAUAUAUUGUUGUUCUGUGAACCCUAUUUUCUCUGAUCAAAUUUUUUCUUUAGGUAAAUUGUUAAAUUCAAUUUUCUGUCAGCUGCGUAACUUUGAUUUUAGCUUGAUCUUCAAUUUUAUUUUGAUGCGGGUGCAUCAUUAUUUUCAUAUAGCAACAAAGGGAUUUAGUUUCAUGGCAUAUGUGUUUUUCUAAUGAUAUGUUCUAUCUCCUAAAACACAUAAAAACGCAGUAGUCUUGAACACAAAGAGGGGUUAAAUCUGUUAUGAUGUUCUAAAGGGGAUUGUUUUGAGUAGUUUAGUAUUUUGACAUCCAUAACAGAACCCUUGAACUUAAUAUCUGGAGCUACCUUUUAAGAAUGAAGCCAAGAAAUCAUAAUAUUGUGCUCUUGUAUAAGCUAUUUGAAUGUACUCCUGAUUGAAGUCAAUAGUGUUAAUAGGAACCACUUCAUAGAAUAUAAACUUUUAAAGAAUCUGGUUUACAAAUUUGAAGUAAAAGCCUAUAUAGUACAAAUUAGGAACUUUUAGCUACAUGGUUAAAUAGCCAUUAGUUUAAAUGUACUCCUUGUAGUUUGAUUUUAGUUUGACUUAUGAGUGUGUAUAUUAUUCACACUUCAUUAUGAGUUUCAUUUAUUGCACCAAUGCACCCUUGAUUUUAGCAAUCAUUUAAAAAAAUUGGAAAAUAGUUAAAAUAUAAAAAUUGGAAAAAUAGUUAAAAGUUAUUAAAAAUCUAAAAAUUUUAAAAUAAUUUAAAAAAAUUAGUUAGGGGUAAAAAUGAAAAUUUAUAGGUCACUGGUGAAUUAGUGAAUUGCCCCUCCUAGGGCCAAAAUUGAAAAUUCAAUGGACAUGUAUUUUUAUAUUAGUAUAUACAUUUAUCUUUCGUAUAAUUUUAUUUAAAUCUUGUCCAGUAAGUGAAGCUCAAUUGGUUGCUACUAGAGACAUUAUGUGAAGUGACCGAGGUUCGAACUCUGAAUUUUUAACUUUUAAAUACUUAAAGUGUGUGAACCUAGUCAGAGAUCUAGCUUACCAAAUAAAAUUCUUAAUAUAUACAAGGGACAAUGCAUUAAAUAUAUGCAAGGUCCAAGUCCAAACUCGGCCGACCACAAAAAAAAAUCUUAAUCAAAAAAAUCAGUUAAUUAUAUAUAGUAGUGCUAGUAAUAUUCUCUUUUCAACACUUUGUUUAACACACACUUUCUUAUUUGUUCAAAUUAUGGUGAAUCUCACACUUUGAAAGUUUCAUUUAAAGUGGUGGAUCAUGUAUUGAUUUCAUCCAAUUAAAAAAUGAGUGUUGAAAAGUUAAUGUCUUUAACAUUCCUCUUUAUUAUAAUGAUUUUUGUAUAUUCCAAAAAAAAUAAAAAAUGAGCAAAUUGUCACUUUAGUACUUGACUCUGCACCUCGUUGUCACAAAGGUCAUGACUCAUAAUUAAACAAAAUAGUAUCUGACUCUGCACUUCCUUCAUCACUUUAGUUUCUAGCGUUAAAUAAUUAUGUUAAGUGAUGAUGUCACACAUUUUACGAUGACAUGACAUAUAAGGUGUCACAUGAAAUAAAGUUAAAGUAGAAACAUAGAUUUUUGUAGUUGUAAUUGUACAUUGUCAAGGACCUUACUGACAAUAAGUGUCUACUGUCAGAGACCUUAGUGACAGUAAGUAGACACAGUCAGGGGCCUUAGUUCUAUGUUUUUUUUUUAUAUUUUCACUUAAGUCCUUAACACCUCAUAUGUCAUGUCAUCGAAAAACUUAACAAAAUCAUCGAACGUCAAAGACUAAAGUGAUAAGGUGCUCAAAGACCUAUUUGUAUUUAAUCAUGAAUAAAGACAUGUAUAACAAAUAAAGGGAUUUGCUCAACUCCGACGUUAUUUUAGAGCUGAAUGCAAUGCAAAGGAAAUACCAAAUCUCUUGAAUUGAACUUCUCUCUCAUCCAUCGUUUUAAUUUUCAUUCAUUCACAGUACAGUAUGUCAUUCUUCUUAGGGUCAACAACAAGGUACGCUCUCUUUUCUCUUCCAACCAGUAUUCUUCUUCGUCAUCGUCGACUAUACUCAUUCAAAUUCAAUCACCCUCUUCCUCCCUUCAUUGACAAUGUUGAUCAUGCUAUUUCCUCUUUCAAUCGCAUCCUUCAUAUGAACAAUCCUACUCAACCCAUCUUUGAAUUUAACAAGAUCUUAUCUUCUCUUGUUAAGUUGAACCAUUUCCACACUGCUAUUUCCUUUUCUAAACAAAUGGAACUCAAACAAAUUCAACCUGACUUAUUUACUUUCAACAUCUUGAUUAAUUGUUUCUGCCACUUGGGCCACCUCAAUUUUGCUUUUUCUGUAUUGGCCAAGAUUCUCAAGCUAGGGUUUCAGCCUAAUACUGUAACAAUCACUACACUUAUCAAAGGUCUAUGUC
Molecule: long non-coding RNA, 7821 nt
Filed under: Medicago truncatula (barrel medic)
Lineage: Eukaryota; Viridiplantae; Streptophyta; Magnoliopsida; Fabales; Fabaceae
Description: long non-coding RNA (MTRU_LNC004352)
Source: RNAcentral